GAAAGACGCUGAACAAAUCCCUGUCAGCUGCACAGGUGUCUUUGUAACACAUUGCCAGUUAGCGUGACAAUGCACGGGAAGCAGCUAUGCUCCAGGUUGUGCUCCAGCUGCUCAGCAUUGACCCUGCCCCAUGCCCUCUGAAGAAGCAGCUUUGCCGAAAGUGGAGGGCCAGCAAAGAAGGAAACUGAAAGCAGGUGUCCAGGUGAUGAAAUUGGCACAGAACACCAAAGGAUGGAGCUGAGAUUCAUGCCUGGGCUGCCUCCCCACAAUCCCCUCACGUUGAAUCCAACCCUGACUUUUGUGUCCCACCGAGGAAAGAAGAAAGCCACCCACCCCAGUGACCAUGGCCUCUAACUGCUCUCUCUGCCUGUGGAAAGCCAGUGGAUUGGGCUAGGACACAAAUGCCUUCCAUCGAUUUUCCUUUCAGCUUUUAUUGGGCACUGUUCAUGGGACUCUUUAAACAUCAGUGUGGUUUCCCAUGGCCUUCUGAGGAGCUGUAAAACUUCUUUCCUUGCCAUUCAAGUUCAAUUCUGGCCUCAAUAGAUUCUAUCUUGUUUUAUGCUUUUAAUGGAAUUCAAGUUUACAGAAUAAAAUGAAUCAUUAUUCUUGAUUCAUGAUACAUGCUCAUCUUUGCUCCAUACUUGACUCUCCUGCUGUCUUGUAUUUUAUUUCAUUUAUUUACUAAUUUGUUUUUAGUAAUAUAAUGAAAACCAAGAUUCAUACCACUCAACCCAAGAAUUUCAGCACUGGCCACUAAAGUCUAUAUGCCCUUCUGGCUUUAUUUCUCCACUCAGACGGGUAGCCUCCAGCCUGAAUCAGGCAUUAUGGUUCUCUUGAUGUUUUUAGUGUACAGUGUUAGCAAGGGUGUGUAUGUGUGUGUGAGCCUGAACAAUAUAUUGUUUAGAUUUGGUAGCUUUGUAUUCUUAAAAGCUAUUCUCUAAGCUGUAGUUAUCACCAUUUAGCCUCCAUACAGUAGGAUCUAAGAAUAUGGAACUUAUUAGAAAUGCUAAUUCUUGAGUCCCACCCCAGACCUACUGAAUUGGAAAUUCUGAUUUGCAUUUCUCUGAUUACUAAUAAGGUUAACAACCUUUUAAUUUCCUGACUGGAUGUUUGUGCUUCCUCUUCUCUGAAAUGCCUCACAGACAUUUGCCGAGAGUUUUUAAGUUGUAUUGUUUAUCAUUUACUGAUUGAUUUUAGGAGUUCUUGAUGCAUUUUUGACAGGAAUUCUUUCAGGUUAAAUGCAUUGAGAAUAUUGUCUUCCAGGUAAUAGCUUCUGUUUUCAAUUUCUUUGUGCUGUCUUAUGAUGAGUGGGAUUUGUAAUUUUCAUAGAAUCAAGUGUUUUGCUCUUUUUUUGUGGUUGCCACAUUUUGAGUCUUCUUUAAGAAUUGUUUUCCUUACCCCAAGGAUAGAAACACCUAUAUAUUUUCUACUAAAGGCUUGAAAGUGUUUGCUUUUGACACAUAAGUCCUAAGGCCUUUCAGAAUUGCCUUGUAUGUGGUAUAAAGUUGGGAUCCAUGUUCACUGUAUUUUCCAAAUGAAUAGUCACUUUUUCCUGGCUACAUUUGUUGAAUAGCUCCCCCUUUUCCCCGUGAUGUCCUGUGACUCUUCUGUCAAAAGUUCAAGCUUCACAACUGUGUGUGGUUGUUUUUGGGCCAUCUAUUCUAUUACAUCAGCCAAUGUGUAUAUUUUUACACCAUCAACAACUGCCUUAAUUACACUCACUUCAUAGUAAAUGUUUAUAUCUGGUAAUCAAGUUCCCUUUCCAGAUGUGUGUCUACUGUUUCUAUUGGAAUUUUCAUUGAGCUUGUUUUGAACCGAUGGUCACUGUGGGGAGAAUUCCCACUUCCAGCGCUCUCUCCCGAGACUUCUUCCAGGAACCCGAGCUCUCAGUUCAAUUGACCGUCCUUGUUUCAAGCCUUUGCUCACGCUCCCUCUUGCUAAGCCCACCCCACCUCGCAAUUUAGAGCACACCCUGCUCUCUCCACUCUCACACUUCAAUGCUCGGCUCUGCCUCCUUCCCGAACCUUUUUCUAACAGCUCAAACCCUCGGGAUCCCCCCAUCCCAUUGAAAAGGGACAGUGCCUGUUGAAAGGAAGCUCUGUUAAAUGUUAGUUGUUAUAAUGAUUAUCAGACUAGUUUCUCCAUUCGCUGCGAACUUUUUUAAAGGUAAUUUAUUUUGAAUUUUUUCUUAAACAUUUCCUAAGAAUGACUAUAAUUCUUCAAAUUGUCUCUUAUUUUUCUAAAGCCAUAGCAAAGAGGAGGAACCGGUGACUUUCUAGAGGAAUUCCUGGCAGGACACCCCCGCCCAGCAGGAGCUCUGGGGUUGUGGCGGUGGACAGGCUGCCACUGGCCAAUGUCUCGUCUGAACUCAGCUGAUGGCUUUCUCCAGAUUCCCACCUUCAUAGAUUUGGGAUGAUUUUGAGGGAGAAUCUGGUCCAUAUAUAACCAGUCCUUUUUAAGUGAAUUUUCUCUGCGUAUGAUGUAUAAAGUCCCAAAUUAAAGAACUUGGAGAAGUUUUAUGGAUCAGUUUAUGGCUGCAUGAAAGUUGACUCUUUAAAAAUGUGUGGCCUUUGGUUCUCGUAAUAUUUGUUCUGUUUGUUUCUGUUCAAGUUACUAAUAAAAAUUAAUAAAUUGGCUAUUCUUGAGUCUUUGGAAACUGGUUGUGUUUCCAAAACAAAUACACCUGCCUGUGAUCAUCAUAAAAGUGAUCUAUCCAGAAUUAUCUGAGGUUGUAAAUGUUAAGAAGAAAAGACAAAAUUUAAAGCAUCAAAAGGCUCUAUGGAAACAAACUGCUCAGUAAUCUGUGUUUUUGAGAUGCAUUUAAUGAUCCAGAGUUAAAAUGCCAAAGUCAUUUUGUUUUCCUCAAUGUAGAAAUAAAUUACUUGGGAAAAGAGAGAG
Molecule: long non-coding RNA, 2898 nt
Filed under: Homo sapiens (human)
Lineage: Eukaryota; Metazoa; Chordata; Mammalia; Primates; Hominidae
Description: HSALNT0116809
Source: RNAcentral